This 171-nucleotide ribosomal RNA is filed under the name uncultured Rhodocyclaceae bacterium. RNAcentral describes it as "partial 16S ribosomal RNA". It matches the Rfam family "Bacterial small subunit ribosomal RNA", at positions 334 to 504 of the family's 1533-position model. Lineage: Bacteria; Pseudomonadati; Pseudomonadota; Betaproteobacteria; Rhodocyclales; Rhodocyclaceae. The record is from RNAcentral.
UUCGCCCUACGGGAGGCAGCAGUGGGGAAUUUGGCCAAUGGGGGCAACCCUGAUCCAGCCAACCCGGGGGGGGAAGAAGGCCUUCGGUUGUAAAGCCCUUUAUCGGGGAAGAAAUGGCUCGGGCUAAUACCCCUGCGGCUGACGGUACUAGCAGAGAAGCAUGCUAUUUUC